RNAcentral lists this ribosomal RNA (355 nucleotides) under uncultured bacterium. RNAcentral describes it as "bacterial SSU rRNA". It matches the Rfam family "Bacterial small subunit ribosomal RNA", at positions 527 to 881 of the family's 1533-position model. The record is from RNAcentral.
GUAUGGUGCAAGCGUUAUCCGGAUUUACUGGGUGUAAAGGGAGCGCAGGCGGACCGGCAAGUUGGAAGUGAAAACUAUGGGCUCAACCCAUAAAUUGCUUUCAAAACUGCUGGCCUUGAGUAGUGCAGAGGUAGGUGGAAUUCCCGGUGUAGCGGUGGAAUGCGUAGAUAUCGGGAGGAACACCAGUGGCGAAGGCGACCUACUGGGCACCAACUGACGCUGAGGCUCGAAAGCAUGGGUAGCAAACAGGAUUAGAUACCCUGGUAGUCCAUGCCGUAAACGAUGAUUACUAGGUGUUGGAGGAUUGACCCCUUCAGUGCCGCAGUUAACACAAUAAGUAUUCCACCUGGGGAGU